UACGGAGGAUGCAAGCGUUAUCCGGAAUGAUUGGGCGUAAAGCGUCCGCAGGUGGCUGUGUAAGUCUGCUGUCAAAGAGCGAAGCUCAACUUCGUAAAGGCAGUGGAAACUACACGGCUAGAGUGCGUUCGGGGCAGAGGGAAUUCCUGGUGUAGCGGUGAAAUGCAUAGAGAUCAGGAAGAACACCGGUGGCGAAGGCGCUCUGCUAGGCCGCAACUGACACUGAGGGACGAAAGCUAGGGGAGCGAAUGGG
Molecule: ribosomal RNA, 253 nt
Filed under: uncultured bacterium
Lineage: Bacteria
Description: partial 16S ribosomal RNA
Rfam family: Bacterial small subunit ribosomal RNA
Source: RNAcentral